GAAGGUCUGUAGCUCAGCAGUAGAGCAUGUGAUUUGAAUGCACAAGGUCCCAAUUCCAAUCUCUGGCAUCUUUA
Podarcis lilfordi (Lilford's wall lizard) is the source of this 74-nucleotide non-coding RNA. Lineage: Eukaryota; Metazoa; Chordata; Lepidosauria; Squamata; Lacertidae. The record is from the annotation of a GenBank genome assembly.